UACGUAGGGGGCAAGCGUUGUCCGGAAUCAUUGGGCGUAAAGCGCGCGUAGGUGGCUCUGUAAGUCCGUUGUGAAAGUCAAAGGCUCAACCUUUGAAAGCCGAUGGAUACUGCAGAGCUAGAGUACGGAAGAGGCGAGUGGAAUUCCUGGUGUAGCGGUGGAAUGCGCAGAUAUCAGGAGGAACACCAAUAGCGAAGGCAGCUCGCUGGGACGUUACUGACACUGAGGUGCGAAAGCGUGGGGAGCGAACAGG
RNAcentral lists this ribosomal RNA (253 nucleotides) under uncultured bacterium. RNAcentral's name for it is "partial 16S ribosomal RNA". It matches the Rfam family "Bacterial small subunit ribosomal RNA", at positions 524 to 776 of the family's 1533-position model. The record is from RNAcentral.